This 484-nucleotide ribosomal RNA is filed under the name uncultured bacterium. Its description in RNAcentral is "partial 16S ribosomal RNA". It matches the Rfam family "Bacterial small subunit ribosomal RNA", at positions 30 to 507 of the family's 1533-position model. The record is from RNAcentral.
AUUGAACGCUGGCGGCAUGCUUUACACAUGCAAGUCGAACGGCAGCGCGGGCUUCGGCCUGGCGGCGAGUGGCGAACGGGUGAGUAAUACAUCGGAACGUGCCCAGUAGUGGGGUAUAGCUCGGCGAAAGCCGGAUUAAUACCGCAUACGACCUUAGGGUGAAAGCGGGGGAUCUUCGGACCUCGCGCUAUUUGAUCGGCCGAUGGCAGAUUAGCUAGUUGGUGGGGUAAAGGCCUACCAAGGCGACGAUCUGUAGCUGGUCUGAGAGGACGACCAGCCACACUGGGACUGAGACACGGCCCAGACUCCUACGGGAGGCAGCAGUGGGGAAUUUUGGACAAUGGGCGAAAGCCUGAUCCAGCAAUGCCGCGUGUGUGAUGAAGGCCUUCGGGUUGUAAAGCACUUUUGGCGGGAAAGAAAAGGACUGUGCCAAUACCACGGUUCGAUGACGGUACCCGCAGAAUAAGCACCGGCUAACUACGUG